UACAGAGGGCUCAAGCGUUGUUCGGAUUCAUUGGGCGUAAAGGGUGCGUAGGUGGCGGGGCAAGUUGGAUGUGAAAUCCCGGAGCUUAACUCCGGAACUGCAUUCAAUACUGCCUUGCUCGAGUACUGGAGAGGAGAUUGGAAUUUACGGUGUAGCAGUGAAAUGCGUAGAUAUCGGAAGGAAGACCAGUGGCGAAGGCGGAUCUCUGGACAGUUACUGACACUGAGGCACGAAGGCCAGGGGAGCAAACGGG
This 253-nucleotide ribosomal RNA is filed under the name uncultured bacterium. RNAcentral describes it as "partial 16S ribosomal RNA". It matches the Rfam family "Bacterial small subunit ribosomal RNA", at positions 524 to 776 of the family's 1533-position model. The record is from RNAcentral.